This 309-nucleotide ribosomal RNA is filed under the name Xylaria sp. genotype 465. RNAcentral's name for it is "eukaryotic LSU rRNA". It matches the Rfam family "Eukaryotic large subunit ribosomal RNA", at positions 135 to 444 of the family's 3401-position model. Lineage: Eukaryota; Fungi; Ascomycota; Sordariomycetes; Xylariales; Xylariaceae. The record is from RNAcentral.
GGUCCGAGUUGUAAUUUGUAGAGGAUGCUUUGGGUGCGGUGCCUUCCGAGUUCCCUGGAACGGGACGCCUUAGAGGGUGAGAGCCCCGUACGGUUGGACAUCAAGCCUGUGUAAAGCUCCUUCGACGAGUCGAGUAGUUUGGGAAUGCUGCUCUAAAUGGGAGGUAAAUUUCUUCUAAAGCUAAAUAYUGGCCAGAGACCGAUAGCGCACAAGUAGAGUGAUCGAAAGAUGAAAAGCACUUUGAAAAGAGGGUUAAAUAGCACGUGAAAUUGUUGAAAGGGAAGCGUUUGCGACCAGACCUUUUCCCAG